Non-coding RNA from Onthophagus taurus, 251 nucleotides. The record is from RefSeq and is a predicted model, not a curated record. NCBI's taxonomy places the organism in Eukaryota, Metazoa, Arthropoda, Insecta, Coleoptera, Scarabaeidae.
AAUCAAGUAGUAUUUUAUGAGUUGGUUUAUUUUCAACUAAUAAUUGUUGCUAUUGACUGCACUCUCAGAGUUUAAUCACCAGCUAAAGAGAAUGCUGAAUACUUUAGGAUUAGAAAAGGUUAUUUUUCUUUCUUUGUUCAAUCUAUUUCGGACGCAAGAUUAUGAAUAUUUGUGGACUACUUUGGCAUAUAAUGGCAUAUCAAACUGUAUUUAAUUUUCAUAGUUGUAAAUAAACUGUUUUGUAUCAGAAA